UACGUAGGGGGCAAGCGUUAUCCGGAUUUACUGGGUGUAAAGGGAGCGUAGACGGCAGGGCAAGUCUGGAGUGAAAGCCCGGGGCCCAACCCCGGGACUGCUUUGGAAACUGCCAUGCUGGAGUGCUGGAGAGGUAAGCGGAAUUCCUAGUGUAGCGGUGAAAUGCGUAGAUAUUAGGAGGAACACCAGUGGCGAAGGCGGCCGCCUGGCCUGUUGCUGACGCUGAGGCACGAAAGCGUGGGGAGCAAAUAGG
Molecule: ribosomal RNA, 253 nt
Filed under: uncultured Eubacteriales bacterium
Lineage: Bacteria; Bacillati; Bacillota; Clostridia; Eubacteriales
Description: uncultured Clostridiales bacterium partial 16S ribosomal RNA
Rfam family: Bacterial small subunit ribosomal RNA
Source: RNAcentral